UACAGAGGGUGCAAGCGUUAAUCGGAUUUACUGGGCGUAAAGCGUGCGCAGGCGGUUGUGCAAGACCGGUGUGAAAUCCCCGGGCUUAACCUGGGAAUGGCAUUGGUGACUGCACGGCUAGAAUCUGGCAGAGGGGGGUAGAAUUCCACGUGUAGCAGUGAAAUGCGUAGAGAUGUGGAGGAAUACCGAUGGCGAAGGCAGCCUCCUGGGCCAACACUGACGCUCAUGCACGAAAGCGUGGGGAGCAAACAGG
This 253-nucleotide ribosomal RNA is filed under the name uncultured bacterium. RNAcentral describes it as "partial 16S ribosomal RNA". It matches the Rfam family "Bacterial small subunit ribosomal RNA", at positions 524 to 776 of the family's 1533-position model. The record is from RNAcentral.